RNAcentral lists this ribosomal RNA (798 nucleotides) under uncultured bacterium. Its description in RNAcentral is "bacterial SSU rRNA". It matches the Rfam family "Bacterial small subunit ribosomal RNA", at positions 8 to 855 of the family's 1533-position model. The record is from RNAcentral.
AGAGUUUGAUCAUGGCUCAGCGAACGCUGGCGGCAGGCCUAACACAUGCAAGUCGAACGAACUCUUCGGAGUUAGUGGCGGACGGGUGACUAACACGUGGGAACGUGCCUUUAGGUUCGGAAUAACUCAGGGAAACUUGUGCUAAUACCGAAUGUGCCCUUCGGGGGAAAGAUUUAUCGCCUUUAGAGCGGCCCGCGUCUGAUUAGCUAGUUGAUGAGGUAAAGGCUCACCAAGGCGACGAUCAGUAGCUGGUCUGAGAGGAUGAUCAGCCACAUUGGGACUUAGACACGGCCCAAACUCCUACGGGAGGCAGCAGUGGGGAAUCUUGCGCAAUGGGCGAAAGCCUGACGCAGCCAUGCCGCGUGAAUGAUGAAGGUCUUAGGAUUGUAAAAUUCCUUCAGUAGGGACGAUAAUGACGGUACCUACAGAAGAAGCCCCGGCUAACUUCGUGCCAGCAGCCGCGUUAAUACGAAGGGGGCUAGCGUUGCUCGGAAUUACUGGGCGUAAAGGGAGCGUAGGCGGACAUUUAAGUCAGGGGUGAAAUCCCGGGGCUCAACCUCGGAAUUGCCCUUGAUACUGGGUGUCUUGAGUGUGAGAGAGGUAUGUGGAACUCCGAGUGUAGAGGUGAAAUUCGUAGAUAUUCGAAAGAACACCAGUGGCGAAGGCGACAUACUGGCUCAUUACUGACGCUGAGGUUCGAAAGCGUAGGGAGCAAACAGGAUUAGAUACCCUGGUAGUCCACGCCGUAAACGAUGAUUGCUAGUUGUCGGGAUGCAUGCAUUUCGGUGACGCAGCUAA